GACGAACGCUGGCGGCGUGCUUAAUACAUGCAAGUCGAACGGAAAGGCCCUGCUUGCAGUGUUCUCGAGUUGCGAACGGGCGAGUAACUCGUGGGUGAUUUGCCUUCCACUUCGGCUUAAGUCUCUUCAACUGGCUCUAAUUCCUGCCAGGUACUAUUUUUAGCCUGAUGGUUCGAUAGUUUUGUCGGUGUUUGAUGAGCUUGCGACCUAUCUGCUUGCUGCUGGGGCUAUGGCCUACCAUGGCGGCGACGGGUAGCCGGCCUGAGGGGGUGGACUGCCACAUUGGGACUGAGAGGCGGCCCAGACUCCGAAGGGAGGCAGAAGGGGGGAAUAUUGAACGAGGAGAGCAAGCCUGAUGCAGCAAGGCCGCGUGGGGGAAAACGGCCUUCGGGUUGUAAACUCAAUUCGCUAGGGACGAAGCUAUUUGUGAAGGUACCUAGAUAAGAAGCACCGGCUAACUACGUG
Molecule: ribosomal RNA, 465 nt
Filed under: uncultured bacterium
Lineage: Bacteria
Description: partial 16S ribosomal RNA
Rfam family: Bacterial small subunit ribosomal RNA
Source: RNAcentral